Molecule: small RNA, 564 nt
Filed under: Pongo abelii (Sumatran orangutan)
Lineage: Eukaryota; Metazoa; Chordata; Mammalia; Primates; Hominidae
Description: processed transcript
Source: RNAcentral
UGUGGGUUGGACGGGGCCAGAGUGUGAGGCAGAGCUAGGGAGCUGCAUCUCUGCACCCUGUGCCCAUGGGGGGACCUGCUACCCCCAGCCCUCUGGCUACAACUGUACCUGCCCUACAGGCUACACAGGGCCCACCUGUAGUGAGGAGACGACAGCUUGUCACUCAGGGCCAUGUCUCAAUGGCGGCUCCUGCAACCCUAGCCCUGGAGGCUACUACUGCACCUGCCCUCCAAGCCACACAGGGCCCCAGUGCCAAACCAGCACUGACUACUGUGGGUCUGCCCCGUGCUUCAAUGGGGGUACCUGUGUGAACAGGCCUGGCACCUUCUCCUGCCUCUGUGCCACGGGCUUCCAGGGCCCGCGCUGUGAGGGAAAGAUCCGCCCCAGCUGUGCAGACAGACUCUGAUGGACUUAUGUGCCCAGAAGCCCUGCCCACGCAAUUCCCACUGCCUCCAGACUGGGCCCUCCUUCCACUGCUUGUGCCUCCAGGGAUGGACCGGGCCUCUCUGCAACCUUCCACUGUCCUCCUGCCAGAAGGCUGCGCUGAGCCAAGGCAUAGACGUC